UACGUAGGGUGCAAGCGUUAUCCGGAUUUACUGGGUGUAAAGGGGGCGCAGACGGCGAUGCAAGCCAGGAGUGAAAGCCCGGGGCCCAACCCCGGGACUGCUCUUGGAACUGCGUGGCUGGAGUGCAGGAGGGGCAGGCGGAAUUCCUGGUGUAGCGGUGAAAUGCGUAGAUAUCAGGAGGAACACCGGUGGCGAAGGCGGCCUGCUGGACUGCAACUGACGUUGAGGCCCGAAAGCGUGGGGAGCAAACAGG
This 253-nucleotide ribosomal RNA is filed under the name uncultured bacterium. RNAcentral's name for it is "partial 16S ribosomal RNA". It matches the Rfam family "Bacterial small subunit ribosomal RNA", at positions 524 to 776 of the family's 1533-position model. The record is from RNAcentral.